This 1201-nucleotide ribosomal RNA is filed under the name metagenome. Its description in RNAcentral is "bacterial LSU rRNA". It matches the Rfam family "Bacterial large subunit ribosomal RNA", at positions 1605 to 2815 of the family's 2925-position model. The record is from RNAcentral.
CUUCCAAGAAAAGCUUGCACUGUCAUAAACAAAUAAUGCCUGUACCAUAACCGACACAGGUGGGUAGGUAGAGUAUACUAAGGGGCGCGAGAUAACUCUCUCUAAGGAACUCGGCAAAAUGACUCCGUAACUUCGGGAGAAGGAGUGCCUUCUUUAGAAGGUUGCAAUAACAAGAUCCAAGCAACUGUUUACCAAAAACACAGGUCUCCGCUAAGUCGUAAGACGAUGUAUGGGGGCUGACGCCUGCCCAGUGCCAGAAGGUUAAAGAAGUUGGUUAGCAUUCGCGAAGCUGAUAACUGAAGCCCUGGUGAACGGCGGCCGUAACUAUAACGGUCCUAAGGUAGCGAAAUUCCUUGUCGGGUAAGUUCCGACCCGCACGAAAGGCGUAAUGAUCUGGAUACUGUCUCGGAGAGGGACUCGGUGAAAUAGACUUGUCUGUGAAGAUGCGGACUACCUGCACCUGGACAGAAAGACCCUAUGAAGCUUUACUGUAACUUGAAAUUGAAAUUGGACUUUAUUUGCGCAGUAUAGGUGGGAGGCCUUGAGAAUAAUCUUGCGGGAUUAUUGGAGCCAUCAGUGAGAUACCACUCUUGUAAUGUUAGAUUUCUAACUUUGGAUCAUGAUCUGGUCAAAGAACAGUUUCAGGCGGGCAGUUUGACUGGGGCGGUCGCCUCCCAAAUGGUAACGGAGGCGCACAAAGGUUUCCUCUGAACGGGUAGAAAUCGUAUCUAGAGUGUAAAGGCAUAAGGAAGCUUGACUGUGAGACCUACAAGUCGAGCAGGGACGAAAGUCGGUCUUAGUGAUCUGACGGUGCUGAGUGGAAAGGCCGUCACUCAACGGAUAGAAGUUACUCUAAGGAUAACAGGCUGAUCUCCCCCAAGAGUUCACAUCGACGGGGAGGUUUGGCACCUCGAUGUCGGCUCAUCGCAUCCUGGGGCGGUAGUACGUCCCAAGGGUUGGGCUGUUCGCCCAUGAAAGCGGUACGCGAGCUGGGUUCAGAACGUCGUGAGACAGUUCGGUCCAUAUCCGGUGUAGGCGUUAGAAUAUUGAGAGGAGCCUUCUCUAGUACGAGAGGACCGAGAAGGACAUACCUCUGGUGUACCAGUUAUCGUGCCAACGGUAAACGCUGGGUAGCUAUGUAUGGAGUGGAUAACCGCUGAAAGCAUCUAAGUGGGAAGCCCACCUCAAGAUAAGUAUUCUC